UGGCUCGGGGGCCGCCGGGCUGAGCGCUGCGGGGCGAAGGAGCGACCCGGCCCGAUCCCGGUCCUCGUCCUUAUCCCGAUCCUGAUCCCGAUCGCGAACCCGCGGCCUGGCCCGGCCCGGCUGCCCCGGCCAUGCUGUCGUGGGGAGCGGCGGGCGGGCGGACGCUGCGCUGGGCGAGCGGGCGGGUACCGAGCCGCGGGCUCCGCGCUUCUCCGCGGGCGCGGAUCGCCAUGCCCAGCUGGGUCAUAGACCGGUACGGCAGCAACGAGGUGCUGCGCUUCACCAGGGAGAUGAUGUUCCCCAUCAUACACUUCCCGAACGAGGUCAUCAUUAAGGUUCACGCUGCGAGCCUGAACCCCAUCGACCUCAGCAUGAGAAGUGGUUAUGGCGCGACUGCAUUAAAUAUGAAGCGGGAUCCCCUGAAGCUCAAAAGCGGCGAGACUGAAUUUCCUCUAACGCUUGGUCGAGAUGUCUCUGGUGUUGUUAUGGAAUGUGGACUGGGUGUGUCUUAUUUCAAACCCGGAGAUGAGGUGUGGGCAGCAAUUCCCCCAUGGAAACAAGGCACUCUGUCAGAGUUUGUGGUAGCUAGUGGAAACGAGGUAUCUUUUAAGCCCAAGUGUCUCAGUCACACAGAAGCUGCUGCCUUACCAUAUGUUGGUCUCACUGCGUGGUCUGCACUUAACCAAGUGGGAGGACUGAACCAAAGUAAUUGUAGUGGGAAAAGAAUAUUAAUAUUAGGAGCUUCAGGAGGAGUUGGUACAUUUGCUGUACAGCUAAUGAAGGCCUGGGAUGCUCAUGUGACAGCAGUUUGCUCUCAUGAUGCCAGCACACUGGUGAAAAAGCUUGGAGCAGAUGAUGUGAUUGAUUAUAAGUCUGGAAAUCUGGAAGAGCAGCUUAAAACAUUACCCUUGUUUGAUUUUAUCCUAGAUAAUGUUGGUGGAUCCACUGAGAAGUGGGCACUAGAUCUCUUGAAGAAAUGGUCAGGAGCAACAUAUGUUACUUUAGUGACACCUUUCCUGAUCAAUAUGGACAAACUUGGAGUGGCUGAUGGCAUGUUGCAAACAGGAGUCACUGUCGGCUCCAAAACUCUAAAGCACCUCCUUAAAGGAGUCCAUUAUCGGUGGGCAUUUUUCAUGCCAAGUGGCCCAAGUUUGGAUGAAAUAGCAGAAUUGGUUGAUUCUGGAAAGACACAAGAGUUCUCAUAAAAGGACAGACCAUCCAUUCAGAAGAGUAGGUGUUUGGGAAAAAAGGCAGGAGAGAAUCACUGGAGAAAUUGUACCACAAUUUCCUAUAAAUGGACAUCUUGCAAAGAAACUAUUCCAAGACUGAGGGGCUGGGAGGCUGCUGCAACAAUUAUGGGCAUGGAGAAAACCCAGUAUUUCCUUGACAAAUUUUAGAGAGACUGGCUAUUUUCUAAACUGCUGGAGAAUCCCUGUUGUGUUUUGAAGUGCAGCAGUAAAUUAUGACCCAGUAAGGAAUGGCUUAAUGUGGGCUCCACCAUAUGAGUUGACGAAGCCCGUGUCAGAAGCUCUGUCUCUUUCCAUGGUAGAAUGUUCCUGGUGAAUUACAAUUCUCAUCUUAAGACAGCAGAAAUCAACAGAACCCUUAAUUCAGGGCACAGAUCUGCUGGCACAUUGUUCAGUGAAGCAUCAUCACUGAAAGUCUCAUGGUCAGUGGUCAGUGUUGUGGAUUUAACAUUGACAGUUUUGGUUUUUGCUGCAUGCCCAGCAUUUUCCUCCUAAGGACAUAUCAUAUAGUCCUUGCUGAAAACAGGGCAAAUUCAUAUUCAACCAGUUAUUGAUGAAGUCUUCCCAUUUUCUGAAGUUCCAGAGGCCUUUCUGAAGUUGGAAGGAGGACAUGCACGUGGAAAAACAGUGAUCAAUGUAAUUAGUAGACAAUAAAGUAUCUCUAAUCUC
Pyrgilauda ruficollis (rufous-necked snowfinch) is the source of this 1916-nucleotide RNA transcript. It is a transcript of the gene named reticulon 4 interacting protein 1, with no coding region annotated. NCBI's taxonomy places the organism in Eukaryota, Metazoa, Chordata, Aves, Passeriformes, Passeridae. The record is from RefSeq and is a predicted model, not a curated record. The transcript has 11 exons.